RNAcentral lists this ribosomal RNA (382 nucleotides) under uncultured marine Chaetocerotaceae. RNAcentral's name for it is "SSU rRNA". It matches the Rfam family "Eukaryotic small subunit ribosomal RNA", at positions 587 to 972 of the family's 1831-position model. Lineage: Eukaryota; Bacillariophyta; Thalassiosirophyceae; Chaetocerotales; Chaetocerotaceae. The record is from RNAcentral.
AGCUUCAGUAGCGUAUAUUAAAGUUGUUGCAGUUAAAAAGCUCGUAGUCGCAUUUCUGGCGAGAGGAUCCGGUCCGACCUUUUGGUGGGUUCUUGGGUCUCUUUCGCCAUCCUUGAGUGGUCCGUUCUGGCUUUAGGUUGUCGGUGCGUCAGCCGCUCAUCGUUUACUGUGAGAAAAUUAGAGUGUUCAAAGCAGGCUUAUGCCGUUGAAUAUAUUAGCAUGGAAUAAUAAGAUAGGACCUCGGUACUAUUUUGUUGGUUUGCGCACCAAGGUAAUGAUGAACAGGGACAGUUGGGGGUAUUUGUAUUUCGUUGUCAGAGGUGAAAUUCUUAGAUUUACGAAAGACAAACUACUGCGAAAGCAUUUACCAAGGAUGUUUUCA